CACUACAAAAAAAGUGUUGAAUUGUAUCACUUAAAUUGUAUCAUAAAAUUAAGCGAUUCUAUUUUACAUUACUUAUUUAUAAAUGAAGCAAAUAUACAUAGUUUAACAUCAAUUAUGAUAAGUGAUGUUUUUAUUAAUUUAUUUGACAUCAGUUUAAUUAAGUGAUAUAUUUUUUUGGUAAUUUGAAUCACUUCUAACAAAAAUGAUACUAUUACAAAAAGUUAUAUCAUAUAAACAAAUGAUGUAUAAAUUUU
RNAcentral lists this long non-coding RNA (254 nucleotides) under Brassica napus (rape). RNAcentral's name for it is "long non-coding RNA (BNAP_LNC004275)". Lineage: Eukaryota; Viridiplantae; Streptophyta; Magnoliopsida; Brassicales; Brassicaceae. The record is from RNAcentral.